This 1200-nucleotide long non-coding RNA is filed under the name Mus musculus (house mouse). RNAcentral's name for it is "long non-coding RNA chr9:107680081-107681281". Lineage: Eukaryota; Metazoa; Chordata; Mammalia; Rodentia; Muridae. The record is from RNAcentral.
AGCAGUGGCUUAGAAGAGUGGGGUGUCUCUGGACCAGAGGGUACUGUGCCUCCUGGGAGCCCUGAGGGAAUAGGUGACUAUUUGCCUACCACUCAGGGUUAAAUGUGACCCUGUACAUGGUGUCUACAUGUCCUCUGCUGGUAGAUGGGUGAGUCUGCUAUACACAGCCCAUGUGUGUCUUUCUGUUCCUUACUAGAAUCGAGCGAAGUUAAGUGCACACACCCAGUCCUGUAUACCUGCAUGUAUGUGUACCUGCUAGUAGUUAAGUACAUGUGCUCUUACAUACCUGUUUAAAUGAUGAUGAGUGCAGCCUGUGGAUGUGCAGUGGUGCUCUGUGUGUGUAUACUGGGGAUCAAGUCUAGGAUGCCCGCAUGCUGGGCAUGUACUUCAGUCCAGCAUGCUCUACCUGUUCUCCGUCUAGGCACGGGUGUGUGUGUGUGCUCAUUUUGCAGGGCUUUGUGUGAAUUCACAGUGCCCUUGCCUAAGCAUUUAGAUGCACACCUGUGUGCCUGUGUGUGCAUACAUGCUUGCCUGUGCCAGCCCAUGCACACUGUCUAAGCGUACAUGUGCAUUUAGAUGCAACAAAGAUCACCAUAGAGGUGGCUACAUUCAGUGUAUCUUUGGCAAGCCUAUUGUCAGAUGUGAAGAUCUUGGCGCUCCCCAGAGUACAGAAGAGUGAGUGGGGUCUCACUUGCUCUGCUUUUGCUUGGUCUACUCAUAAUGUGGGACCUGCAUAGGGUACCACUCUAACCUGACAGCCUCUAUUCCAGGGUUUGGAGACCUGCUCAGGUGUAGCAGUUGGUGACAUAUGGAGCCUGCUGUGCGGAGCAUCUAGGUGCUAGAGAUGGCUUCUGCCCAUAUAACCGGAAACCCCAUCUUGGGCUCUCUAUGGGUCUAGAGCCUCUUUUCCUAAACCAGACUCAACUCUGUGACAGACUACAAGGGGGUGCUAGGGUCCCAAGCUCCAAGCAUAGAAUUGUCCCUAAAGAUAGUAGGAAGUAGAUUCCCUGUCCUGGCAAUUUUGUCAUUCGUCCUGAGUGAGGAGGGCUCUGUUCAGGAGCAAAUGUCAUCUGUCACUUCAGCCCUUGGGCUCCACCCACCCUCAACUGCACAGGGUUAAGUGGAGCCUGGGCCGCAGGGGUCUCUGGAGCUUAGGAAAUGCAGGAGCCCUGAUUAUUAAACCAAACCUGUCUUCUACAC